RNAcentral lists this ribosomal RNA (240 nucleotides) under uncultured bacterium. RNAcentral describes it as "partial 16S ribosomal RNA". It matches the Rfam family "Bacterial small subunit ribosomal RNA", at positions 15 to 245 of the family's 1533-position model. The record is from RNAcentral.
GAUCAUGGCUCAGGAUGAACGCUAGCUACAGGCUUAACACAUGCAAGUCGAGGGGUAGCAUUUUAGUUUGCUUGCAAACUAAAGAUGGCGACCGGCGCACGGGUGAGUAACACGUAUCCAACCUGCCGAUAACUCAGGGAUAGCCUUUCGAAAGAAAGAUUAAUACCUGAUGGCAUAGGAUUAUCGCAUGAUAAUCCUAUUAAAGAGUUUCGGUUAUCGAUGGGGAUGCGUUCCAUUAGG